RNAcentral lists this long non-coding RNA (781 nucleotides) under Heterocephalus glaber (naked mole-rat). RNAcentral's name for it is "lncRNA (ENSHGLG00100040079.1)". Lineage: Eukaryota; Metazoa; Chordata; Mammalia; Rodentia; Bathyergidae. The record is from RNAcentral.
CAAUAGUUUCAAGCUGCUGAUUCUCAGAGCAGUAAUCCAUCCCAGCAUUGGUCUGAAGAACCCUGUGAACUGAGAAUUCACUAACCUUCACAGACUGGCUCGGCACUAGCACCUCUACUUCUCUACAGGUGAUCUCUAAUAGCCUUGCAGGCAGUGGUCCAGACAUCAAAAACUAAAAAAAAUCUUUAAAAGCCAAUGCUUACUAUAAACUCUAAAAGAUUUUUCUCUCCUGCUAAACAAGAUAGCCCCUUAGAGAGAAGUUAUUUCUUUUAACUAAAUAUGUGUCCUUGACGAAAUAAUGAGGACUUUUCCUCAGUAUAACCGAAAUAGAAAAGUCAAAAGCAGGAAAACAAAGACUGUAAGAAUAUAAGGAAAACCCUCAUGGGAGAUGAGAGAAUGGAAGCCAAUAAAUCAGAAAUCUUUACAAGGAUACCAGAUCUAGUAAACAUUGAUUCUGUUUAUUCCAGGUGUACAAAAGAAAUGGAAGAUUCAUCCUUUUCAGCUUUACAAGGUCAUUUAUAAUUCUACUCCAGUCCUCCAAAGUAAUAACUACUUACUCCAAUUUGCUGUUGUCUGUAAAUUUGAUCAUCGUGUGCUGUAGUCUGUCACCACACAACAGCGGAACAUGUUAAAUCGCCUCAUAUCUAAGAAGAAACAACGGAUGCUACAGUUUGUUCGCAGCCAUCGGCAGUUCCGGUGCCGUUUCAGGUGCGGCAGGAUUUCGGGAUCUCGGUGGAGCUGCGGUCUUGACGGUGACCCGAGGAGGGUUAACACAGAAGUG